AGAGUUUGAUCAUGGCUCAGAACGAACGCUGGCGGCAUGCCUAACACAUGCAAGUCGAACGAGACCUUCGGGUCUAGUGGCGCACGGGUGCGUAACGCGUGGGAAUCUGCCCUUGGGUUCGGAAUAACAGUUAGAAAUGACUGCUAAUACCGGAUGAUGUCUUCGGACCAAAGAUUUAUCGCCCAGGGAUGAGCCCGCGUAGGAUUAGCUAGUUGGUGGGGUAAAGGCCUACCAAGGCGACGAUCCUUAGCUGGUCUGAGAGGAUGAUCAGCCACACUGGGACUGAGACACGGCCCAGACUCCUACGGGAGGCAGCAGUGGGGAAUAUUGGACAAUGGGCGAAAGCCUGAUCCAGCAAUGCCGCGUGAGUGAUGAAGGCCUUAGGGUUGUAAAGCUCUUUACCCGGGAUGAUAAUGACAGUACCGGGAGAAUAAGCCCCGGCUAACUCCGUG
RNAcentral lists this ribosomal RNA (452 nucleotides) under uncultured bacterium. RNAcentral describes it as "bacterial SSU rRNA". It matches the Rfam family "Bacterial small subunit ribosomal RNA", at positions 8 to 507 of the family's 1533-position model. The record is from RNAcentral.